This 1107-nucleotide long non-coding RNA is filed under the name Gossypium barbadense (sea-island cotton). Its description in RNAcentral is "long non-coding RNA (GBAR_LNC018152)". The record is from RNAcentral. Lineage: Eukaryota; Viridiplantae; Streptophyta; Magnoliopsida; Malvales; Malvaceae.
AAACAGAGAGCAAAAGCUCUCUCUCUCAGGCUUGUAAUCCGGCCGUGGCCACUGCCGUAGCGCCACCGUGGACGGUGGCCGGCGUUGCGCGAAAGGAGCGUUUCAGCCCCGUUUCAAAGCACACACGAAGGCCAGGCCCUCUUAGUCCGAAAAAAGCCCAAAAGAAUAAACCCUUCACCACCCUUUUUAACUCGAUUCAGGCGACUAAAGGGGACUUCCGGCGCCGAGGCCUCGUGAUCCUUUAGGUGAGUCCCUCUUCCUUUUUAUUCUAUUAUUUAGUAUGUAAAAGAAAAAAAAUUAAAAUAAAAUAGAAAAAAAUUAAAAUGAUUCGAAACAAGAAAGUAAAAUCUUCUCAAUUCUGCUCUGUUUUUGUUUUUUUUUAUUUAAUGUUCGUGAAGAAAAAAAAAAGGGAGGGGAGAACCCCGGUACAAGUGAUUUGCUAUGGCUUUAUAGCCAUUUUUACAUGAUUUUUUUUUUAUCUAUUUUGCUUGUCACUUCUGCCUUAAUUUCUUGCAGGUGGAGCAGGUAAGGACGGAUGUGACCGUGGCGGUGCAAGUGGCGGUGGCAGAGGAGUUGAUGAGCGGCAGAGGGUAGGUGCGGCGCUAGGGUUAGGUGCAAUAGAGGCUAGGGUUUUUUGAAAAUGUUUUAGUUUUGGGCUUGUUGGGCCUUUAGUUUUUUUGGGCUGUAAUUUUAUUGUUUUGAGUUAGGUCUGUUUUAGGGUAUUGGGUUUGAUUUAAGGUUUGGGUAGCUGGGUUUUUGGGCCCCGGGCAAAUUUGGGCUUGUACAGUGUGUAUAUAUAUACACCAUACUAAUUUAAAAUUAUAGUUAUUGAAUGUGAUAUCAUUAAGAAAUUAUAGUAAUAAAUUAUUUGUAUUGUUGGAUGACCCUCAAAAUUUAAUAAGGAUGGCCAUAAAUGAACCGACCUUAGCAAAAUCUUGGACCAAACCUAGCGUUUGGUCUCAACAAAAGAAAGUAAUAUGUUUAAAUUGAAUGAUUAAGAAAGGGAAAUCACACUAAGUAUUUGCCAAUCUCCAUGUAAUUACCUACCCGACCAAACCCCAUAAUGUUGAGUAAAUCCGCUUAACUAAAAGCCCACAUAGCCCCCCC